ACUCAAAUGAAUAGACGGGGACCCGCACAAGCAGCGGAGCGUGUGGUUUAAUUCGAGGCUACGCGAAGAACCUUACCAGGGUUUGACAUAUACGUGGUAGGGAGUCGAAAGAUGACCGACCCUUCGGGGAGCGUAUACAGGUGCUGCAUGGCUGUCGUCAGCUCGUGCCGUGAGGUGUUAGGUUAAGUCCUGUAACGAGCGCAACCCACGUCGCUAGUUACAUGUGUCUAGCGAGACUGCCGGUGAUAAGCCGGAGGAAGGUGUGGAUGACGUCAAGUCAGCAUGGCCUUUAUAUCCUGGGCUACACACACGCUACAAUGGCCGGUACAAUGGGUAGCCAAGCCGCGAGGCGGAGCCAAUCCUAAAAAGCCGGUCUCAGUUCGGAUUGCAGGCUGCAACUCGCCUGCAUGAAGUCGGAGUUGCUAGUAACCGCGCGUCAGCCAUAGUGCGGUGAAUACGUUCCCGGGUCUUGCACACACCGCCCGU
Molecule: ribosomal RNA, 486 nt
Filed under: uncultured bacterium
Lineage: Bacteria
Description: partial 16S ribosomal RNA
Rfam family: Bacterial small subunit ribosomal RNA
Source: RNAcentral